UACGUAGGGUGCGAGCGUUGUCCGGAAUUACUGGGCGUAAAGCGUGCGCAGGCGGUUCGCUGUGUCCGAUGUGAAAGCCCCGGGCUUAACCUGGGAAUGGCAUUGGAAACUGGCGGGCUUGAGUGCGGCAGAGGGGGGUGGAAUUCCGCGUGUAGCAGUGAAAUGCGUAGAGAUGCGGAGGAACACCGAUGGCGAAGGCAGCCCCCUGGGUCGACACUGACGCUCAGGCACGAAAGCGUGGGGAGCAAACAGG
This 253-nucleotide ribosomal RNA is filed under the name uncultured bacterium. RNAcentral's name for it is "partial 16S ribosomal RNA". It matches the Rfam family "Bacterial small subunit ribosomal RNA", at positions 524 to 776 of the family's 1533-position model. The record is from RNAcentral.